Molecule: long non-coding RNA, 203 nt
Filed under: Elaeis guineensis (African oil palm)
Lineage: Eukaryota; Viridiplantae; Streptophyta; Magnoliopsida; Arecales; Arecaceae
Description: long non-coding RNA (EGUI_LNC059779)
Source: RNAcentral
UGUGAGACACUAGUACAAGGAUGUAGGUAUUCAUUUGGAAAAUAAGUCCACUGAAUCGACUCGAUGAAAGAGAAUAUCUUAUAGAAGCCUUACUUACAUGUCAAAGAUGGUUCUCUAAGUGGGAGUUGUGCAAGUGAUCUUUAGACCUGAGACCAUCAUAGAAUCUUGUGCACAUGAACUUAUAUUUUGAUUCAUACCCAGGC